AUGCCUGGUGGGGACCACAAACCACCUUGGGGUUUCAUCUCUUUUUGUAAUCGUAGACCAUGGAAAUGCUAGAGUCUGGAUGUGUGUCCUCUCGUCCAGCUGCGGGGUGAGGCGGUGGGGGCCUCAGGCCAUGCAGCAGCUUUAUACAGGUCAGGUGAAGGUGGCCCAUCCACCCGUCAGAGCCAAGAGACGUGCAGACCUACAAUGCCCGCACUGUGGACGAUGCCCUGAGCUGCAGGCCCUCGGGCAGCACAUAGAGGGCAUUUGACACGGGCACGGGGCUUCUGGGGAAGGCCAGGAGAACUCUGAACUUGGUUUUAUUUCAAGGCUAUUUGGACAAUUUCAACAGGGAACAGAGGAGAGACACCCCCGUGUCCCCUCAAAUUCACAUGUUGGAGCCUGAUCCCCAGUGGGAUGCUGCUGAGGCCUCUGGGACGAGACUAGGGUUACGGGAGGUCAUGAGGGCAGGGCCUCACUCACCCAGAGCAGACAGCCUCCAACAUCCUGUGAGACACGUCUUUUCUCUGCCAGACCCUCUCGUCGAGCUGCCCAUGUCGGGGCCGUGAGCCAAGCUCCCCCUCAUCUGCCCACCUCCCACCUGGAGCCUCUUCUCCCCCUUGUAGCAAAGAUAAAGGCCUCUGGCCCAGCCCGGCGGUGCUGGCAACUGUGUCAACAGGGAGUCAGAGAUUCUCAGGAAGACGCUUCCUCGUCAGGCGGUGGACACAUUCCAAGUGUACCAAGAGUGCACAACAGGGCAAGAUUAGAUCCCUUUCUACCAAGAUGGAUUGUAAUCUGCCCCCGCUCAUGCGAGAAGAACAGCAGGUUUCCACGAGGUCACCGACCCCUUUGCUGAUGCUGGAGAAUCCAGAAGGCCUCUUGCCUGGAUCCACCUUAAAAUGGUGGGGUCUGGGUGGUGGGGAAAGAAGGUCUCAGGUUUUUUUAGUGACAAGCCCAAAGGCUCGCAGAGGGAGGCCCAAGGUCACAGGACACAGGACAGAGCCCACAACACAGGCCGUUCUGGCCCCAGAUGUGAGGACCCGCCCCUGAGGAAAGCUCCACCCGGCCUCACUGGGCCGUGGACCUGGGCCCCGGUGGUCGCUGCACUCACUGUAGUGCCUCUGGGGCUGGGAGCACCGGCCGUCUUUAAUAAAGGAAUUUUCUCUGUCCUGAGGCUAUACAAACUGGCUGCUAAUCCACGAAAACUGUCAGCUUCCCUUGGUGACUCAGGAGGUCAGCCUGCUGUGCUCGCAGUGGCCACUUUAUCUCUGCUCUUCGUUCUUAAUAAACUC
This is a long non-coding RNA of Odocoileus virginianus texanus, 1289 nucleotides long. RefSeq lists it as uncharacterized. NCBI's taxonomy places the organism in Eukaryota, Metazoa, Chordata, Mammalia, Artiodactyla, Cervidae. The record is from RefSeq and is a predicted model, not a curated record.